GAUGAAGAACGUAGCGAAAUGCGAUAAGUAAUGUGAAUUGCAGAAUUCAGUGAAUCAUCGAAUCUUUGAACGCACCUUGCGCCCCUUGGUAUUCCGAGGGGCAUGCCUGUUUGAGUGUCAUUAAAUUCUCAACCUUACUAGCUUUGCUGGUCUGGCUUGGAUAUGGAGGUUUAUGCAGGCUCUCGAGUCAGCUCCUCUGAAAUGCAUUAGCGGUACCUCUGUGGUAUAACAGCUAUUGGUGUGAUAACUAUCUACGCCAUUAGUCAGUGCCACGCAUAUAAAGGGGCUAUGCUGCUGUCUAACUGUCUACUUGCUAGACAAUACUUGACAAUCUUGACCUCAAAUCAGGUAGGACUACCCGCUGAACUUAAGCAUAUCAAUAAGCGGAGGA
Molecule: unclassified non-coding RNA, 391 nt
Filed under: soil metagenome
Description: partial contains 5.8S ribosomal RNA, internal transcribed spacer 2, and large subunit ribosomal RNA
Rfam family: 5.8S ribosomal RNA (bases 1-120)
Source: RNAcentral